Molecule: ribosomal RNA, 301 nt
Filed under: uncultured bacterium
Lineage: Bacteria
Description: partial 16S ribosomal RNA
Rfam family: Bacterial small subunit ribosomal RNA
Source: RNAcentral
CAGUAGCCGCGGGAAUACGUAGGGUGCGAGCGUUAAUCGGAAUUACUGGGCGUAAAGCGUGCGCAGGCGGUUGUGUAAGACAGGUGUGAAAUCCCCGGGCUUAACCUGGGAACUGCGCUUGUGACUGCACAGCUAGAGUAUGGCAGAGGGGGGUGGAAUUCCGCGUGUAGCAGUGAAAUGCGUAGAUAUGCGGAGGAACACCGAUGGCGAAGGCAAUCCCCUGGGCCUGCACUGACGCUCAUGCACGAAAGCGUGGGGAGCAAACAGGAUUAGAUACCCGCGUAGUCCUGUCUCUUAUACC